UGAGAGUCAGGUCCAUUCACAUGCC
Molecule: non-coding RNA, 25 nt
Filed under: Mus musculus (house mouse)
Lineage: Eukaryota; Metazoa; Chordata; Mammalia; Rodentia; Muridae
Source: RNAcentral